AAACCCCGGGUCUUCGGCAUGCGGGUGCGAGCGUUCGGGCUCCAGCGUUCGGGCUCAGCCCUUGCGCUCUGCGCCGGUCGUCCCCCGUGUCCGAUUCUGAUGCCGCGAGGCUCGAUGGCCGGCACCGCUCGAUGGCCGGCACCGCUCGAUGGCCGGCACCGCUCCAUGACGGCACCGCUCCAUGACGGCACCGUUCGAUCAGGCGGUCCUGCUCGGUCGAGCGGUCCCGCGCUCGAUGCCCGCGCCGCGUCGGUUUCACGUCUCAGCCGGAUCCUGAACGGUGCCGACUCAGCGGCC
Molecule: small RNA, 297 nt
Filed under: Actinoplanes sp. SE50/110
Lineage: Bacteria; Bacillati; Actinomycetota; Actinomycetes; Micromonosporales; Micromonosporaceae
Description: non-coding RNA with unknown function
Source: RNAcentral